Pipra filicauda (Wire-tailed manakin) is the source of this 794-nucleotide RNA transcript. It is a transcript of the gene named translation initiation factor IF-2-like, with no coding region annotated. The record is from RefSeq and is a predicted model, not a curated record. The transcript has 3 exons. Lineage: Eukaryota; Metazoa; Chordata; Aves; Passeriformes; Pipridae.
CACCCUCUCCUGUCCCCCGAGCUGCCCCUUCCCCGUCCCUUCCCCGUGUGGCAGCGGGGGCCGCGCCGGGGCGGCGGGGCAGAGCGGCCCGGCCCGGCCCGGUCCGCGGGUGUGGGCGGUGGGGAGCGGGCAUUGGGCUCGGGGACAGGUCCAGGGUAAGGGGGAGCUGUGCGGUACCGGCGCGAUGUGGGGGCCGCGCUCCCCGCCAGGGCAGGGCGCGUUACCCGCUCUCCAAGGAGACGCUGCCGCGUCCGGGCCAGCGGAGGCGCCUUGGGCAGAGCCCGCCCACACACCCGCCCCGCGGCGCCGGCUUUGGCGCCGCGAGGGAGCGGGGUCUGCACUCGCCGCCCCCGGGCCGGGAGCGCCGCGGCCGCCUCAGGCAGCGGCUCGGCCGGCACAACCGCCGGGGCAGCGCUCGCUCCGCCGGCCCCGCUGGCGGCGACAGGACCUGUCGGGCGUGGGCUCGGGGCCCGCCGGGAGAUCGGAGCAGGUCGGGACGACAGAGCCUGCUGGAAGGCUCCGGCAUUGGAAGUCCCGGGCACGCCGCCCCCGGUCCGGGUGUGUGAGUGUGCGGCUUGUGAGAGGUGUAUUGGUAUAUGCCUAGACUCCUUGUUUGAGAGUAUUAUUCGGAAUAUUCCAUGUGGGGCAGUGAACUUACUUCAGAGGUGAUGAGAGACUUCUACAGCAAAAAUAGUUAAAAAUAAAGCUUGGCUCAUGCCCUAACACAGCAGUGAAAACUAGCUGGAAAAAUUAAAUCUCUGCAAGACUGUUUUUCUUCUGCGUCUGUAACUACU